RNAcentral lists this ribosomal RNA (478 nucleotides) under uncultured bacterium. Its description in RNAcentral is "partial 16S ribosomal RNA". It matches the Rfam family "Bacterial small subunit ribosomal RNA", at positions 28 to 507 of the family's 1533-position model. The record is from RNAcentral.
GACGAACGCUGGCGGCGUGCUUAACACAUGCAAGUCGAACGGGAUUUAGUAGACAGGAGCCUCUGCUAAAGAUUCGUAUUGGGAAUGGCGAACGGGGGAAUAACCCGUGAACAACCUGCCUAUGACAGGGGGAUAUCCUCGGGAAACCGUAAUAAAUGCUGCUUCAUAACGUAUACACACAAGUUUCAAUGGUCACAGAUCUAUCGGUAAGAGAUUGGCGCUCGUCUGAUUAGGUGGUUGGUGAGAUAACAGACCACCAAGGAGACGAGCAGUAACCGGGCUGGGAGGAUGAACGGCAACAUUGGAGCUGGGACACGUUCCGAACUCCUACGGAAGGAAGCAAUGGGGAAUAUUGCACAAUGGGGGAAACCCUGAUGCAGCGACGUCGCGUGAACGAAGAAGGUAUUCGGAACGUAAAGUUCUGUCCUAUGGGAAGAUAAUGACAGUACCAUAGAAGAAAGCGCCGGCUAAAUACGUG